UUUUGCAAGCUGCAGGCAAUUGUCUGUAGAAACCAUGCUCCAAACACAGCGAGCACAGAGGCCUCCUCAGAGACCACCAUGAACGGAGCCAAUAAAAGAGAAUGCCAAAGGAAACAUUUGUAUUACAGUCCAGGAGGAACCAGACCUCGGUUUUAUCAGUCUCCUCAGUCUUCCAUGAUGGAAACCUCUAAAUCUGCUCAUCAUUAAGUCAAGGUCAAGGCCCAUGCAACAGUCAAAUCUCACUGAAGUGUAUCCUGAUCAAAGACCCAGGGACAGCAUUUCAGCUCACUGUGGGAGAUACACUGAGAAAAGCCACGCAACAAGUCUCAUACUGAGAUGUCCAAUGCUGAUGACGCUGACAUAGGAAUCCAUCCUUGAUCCCACCGGGCUCCAAGCACACGUGUGAAAUGCACCCAGGGCUGCAGAACUGCAGCGUCAGAGAUCCACAGAUGUUUCGCCUGCACCAUAUGGUGCGUUCCCCACCGUUCCCCUCAGAGCGGCUUCUUGCGCUGAAAGUCAAUGUUUUUCCCACACAUGGGAAAACCAAAUGGAGUGGCUAUAAAAGGAAAAAAGGGAGAACAAAACACCAACAAAUCAGAGAAAACUGGUCUGAAAACCCAACCCAUAAAGAGAGUAAGUAGACUUGGCUAACACUGGGCACACCAGUGUAAAAUGGUGGGUGCACACGCUUCAGUGUGCCCUGUGAAUUUAAAGCAGGAAUUAAGAUUACAUUAGAUGAUAUGCUAAGUUGUAUCCCAGCCACAUACUAUUGUCAGCUUGUACUCCAGCAUUCAGGCACUUAACUGCAGAGGACUCUGGAGAAAUGGCUUUUUAUAACUGCCUGUGUUUUGUCAGAAGUAUGGAAU
Corvus hawaiiensis (hawaiian crow) is the source of this 866-nucleotide long non-coding RNA. RefSeq lists it as uncharacterized. The record is from RefSeq and is a predicted model, not a curated record. The transcript has 3 exons. Lineage: Eukaryota; Metazoa; Chordata; Aves; Passeriformes; Corvidae.